Halichondria panicea is the source of this 222-nucleotide long non-coding RNA. RefSeq lists it as uncharacterized. Lineage: Eukaryota; Metazoa; Porifera; Demospongiae; Suberitida; Halichondriidae. The transcript is spliced from 3 exons. The record is from RefSeq and is a predicted model, not a curated record.
CGCACACAGACUGUCCUCGUCAGCCACCGCUGUUAGAGUUGACCAAUCUCGAGCAGUUUUCUUCUGUUGACGGUUCAGAAGGUGUUGCAAGAGAUAUUUCCAAGCCUGGUUCGACUGAAACAGUUAUGAUCACAGUGAGCUCACCCAGUACAGUGACUGCGGAAGUAGAUGAAAGUCUCUAGAAAUUACGCCAGGCACUGAAUAGUGGCAACAUUCAGUCUA